Long non-coding RNA from Cyprinus carpio carpio, 1018 nucleotides. The record is from Ensembl. Lineage: Eukaryota; Metazoa; Chordata; Actinopteri; Cypriniformes; Cyprinidae.
CAAAAUUAAGAUAAUAAAUGUUUCAAUUCAUAAUGUUAAUGUAAAAAAAAAAGUAAGUAUAAAAAGUACAUAUUUACAUAUUCACUUAACACUUUACAAUAAUGUCCCAUUAGGUAAUGUUGGUUACAAAUAUUUCAUACAGAAAAGCAAUGCAUAAACAUACAAAUGAAUGGUCAUUGGAAAAAAAAAUAUAUCACAUUUUUAAUACAAAAAACAAGUUUUGAAAAAUGGACACUUGUUUAAGGCAGACCAUUCCAAAGAGAUGGGAUGAUUUCACAUAUAUUAGUUAAUAAAGUCUUCACUUUCUUUAUCUUCUCUUAACACCAGCUUUAUUUCAGAGGGAGGUUAGAGGGGUUUCCUCCUGAGACCGGAGAGGAACAGAUUGUGGAAUUACUAUUGGGCUACAGGAGUACUGGACCUACAGGCUUCUGGCACAUGAAGAGUCACUGGAGCAUAUGUCGCCAGCACGAUUCAUUCAUUUAAAUUUAUGGAGUGGAAGUGGGCCAGGUAGCGCACCACAGUGACUGUCAACAGCACCUCCAUCUUCACAAACUUCACGUACACCGGUCCCAUCAUCCUACCAUAUGUCCCGCGAAACACAAUUUCUAAUGGACAAGGACAGCUGUAUCAGGUAAUCAAGUGGGACCUUUCACUGCAAACCAAUCAGUCUCAGUGAGCCCUAUUUGAGCAGCAUUAGCCAUCCUUCCCCUGAGCAUUACAUCAUUCUGAGGGACAACCGAGCCAAUCAACAGCCUGGCAGGAUUACACAGCAUAUGGGCAUGUCCUGACUGUGUUGGAGAACUAAACAGGUGCCGGGAUUUGUAUGAGUGUAUGUCUGUGAGGUCAGUUGCAGUUAAUGUUGGGCUCGGUUUGGGGCUAAAUCACUUUGAAACAUUCCGAUCAUUGGAAGAAGUCUUGCUGAAGAACCUGAAGUCUCCUUUUCUGCCCCUUGGCCAACACACCAAAACAGCAAUCUUGUACUUUAUUUAUAAUUGUGUAUUAUAAUACUUUACCUAAG